This 497-nucleotide ribosomal RNA is filed under the name uncultured bacterium. RNAcentral's name for it is "partial 16S ribosomal RNA". It matches the Rfam family "Bacterial small subunit ribosomal RNA", at positions 28 to 507 of the family's 1533-position model. The record is from RNAcentral.
GAUGAACGCUGGCGGCGUGCCUAAUACAUGCAAGUCGAGCGAACAGACGAGGAGCUUGCUCCUUUGACGUUAGCGGCGGACGGGUGAUUAACACGUGGGUAACCUACCUAUAAGACUGGGAUAACUUCGGGAAACCGGAGCUAAUACCGGAUAAGAUUUCGAUCCGCAGGGUUCGAUAGUGAAAGAUGGCUUUGCUAUCACUUAUAGAUGGACCUGCGCCGUAUUAUCUAGUUGGUAAGGUAACGGCUUACCAAGGCAACGAUACGUAGCCGACCUGAGAGGGUGAUCGGCCACACUGGAACUGAGACACGGUCCAGAAUCCUACGGGAGGCAGCAGUAGGGAAUCUGCCGCAAUGGGCGAAAGCCUGACGGAGCACCGCCGCGUGAGUGAUGAAGGUCUCCGGAUCGUAAAACUCUGUUAUUAGGGACGAACAAACGUGUAAGUAACUGUGCACGACUUGACGGUACCUAAUGAGAAAGCCACGGCUAACUACGUG